RNAcentral lists this ribosomal RNA (497 nucleotides) under uncultured bacterium. RNAcentral describes it as "partial 16S ribosomal RNA". It matches the Rfam family "Bacterial small subunit ribosomal RNA", at positions 28 to 507 of the family's 1533-position model. The record is from RNAcentral.
GAUGAACGCUGGCGGCGUGCCUAAUACAUGCAAGUCGAGCGAACGGACGAGAAGCUUGCUUCUCUGAUGUUAGCGGCGGACGGGAGAGUAACACGUGGAUAACCUACCUAUAAGACUGGGAUAACUUCGGGAAACCGGAGCUAAUACCGGAUGAUAUUUUGAACCGCAUGGUUCAAAAGUGAAAGACGGUCUUGCUGUCACUUAUAGAUGGAUCAGGGCUGGAUUAGUUAGUUGGUAAGGUAACGGCUUACCAAGGCAACGAUGCAGAGACGACCUGAGAGGGUGGUCGCCCACCCUGGAAGUGAGACACGGUCCAGACUCCUGCGGGAGGCCGCAGCAGGGAAUCUUCCGCAAGGGGGGAAAGCCUGACAGAGCAACGCCGGGUGAGUGCUGAUGGUCCUCGGAUCGGAAAGCGCUGUUAUCAGUGAAGAACAUAUGUGUAUGUAACUGUGCUCAUCAUGACGGUACCGGAUCAGUAAGCCCCGGCUAACUACGUG